Molecule: RNA transcript, 5108 nt
Organism: Corvus hawaiiensis (hawaiian crow)
Lineage: Eukaryota; Metazoa; Chordata; Aves; Passeriformes; Corvidae
Gene: WDPCP
Gene name: WD repeat containing planar cell polarity effector
Exons: 16
Source: RefSeq, a predicted model, not a curated record
UGGCGCGCGCGGUUGCUGCGGUGACGCGCGGGACAGGCCCCGGUGGCGGCGGCGCCGCUCCUGCGCCCGCCCCGCGAACUCGGAGCGCUCGCUGGCUGUGUUCUUUUACUGUAUUUUGGAUGGGAUUUUCUUUUACUUCAUUGCCAUCUAUAGAAACUGAUGAAUAUUUUUAGUGCUAAGGCUCCAUAUGUCACCAGAUGUCCUUCUGCCUGACGGAGAUGUUUCUGUGGUCUUUGAAGACCAACUUGCAUAUUAGAGAUGAAGACAUUGGGAUCCACCAGUACUAUGCCAAGAAAGAACCAGCAUCACAGAUGAAGCACAGUUACUUAGAAGAGAGGCAAAAGCUAGCAGAAUCUCGAGAUUAUCCUUGGAUCCUGAAAACCAAGCGACCAGACAAACUGAGAGAUGCACUCAAGGAGGUAGAGGACUUAAUGCAGAACAGUCCAUGUGUGCUGAGCAAAUGGAAGAACAAACAUACCUGCCAGCUCCUCUUUCACUCAGGUGCUUUGGUGUCCCUAAGCCUUUCUGGGCCACAGCUGGAGAAAGUGGUGAUUGACAGGACCCUGGUGGGGAAGCUCAUCUCCGACACCAUCAGUGAUGCUGUUCUUACAGACAAUUUCAUCAUCUUGUCAUUUGAGGACCAUAACCAACUCUGCUUUAUUCAGUUUACAAAGACAAUGGAUUCUCCCGAUGUAAACAAAAGACUGGAAAAACUCUCUUGUUUGGACUUUAAGAUUUCUUAUGUUGAUAUACUUGGACCAGAAGGUAGAAGGAUGAAACGUCACCUGGCAAUAAACUGUAUGCAAGAUAUGGUCAUUUGCUGGUGGUCAGCAACUAGUGAUGGAGCAUGGCCUUGGUCUCCUAUUUCCUGUCAGAGGGACAGAGCCAACCUAUUGCUAUUAGGCUGUGCACAUGGCAAAUUGGAGGUGCUGAGCUAUGUCCGCACGGAGUGGGACCCCCUCGAUGCCAGGUUCAGCUCUGUCCAGCCCGAGCAGGUGCUGACGGUGGAGCACUCGGUGUCCUCAGCCAAGGAGCCCAUGGCCGACAGCUGCGUCUACAAGUGUGUCCGGAACAGAAUCCAGUGCACCACCGUCACCAGGAUCCCGCUGCGAGCCAGGGCCAUCAGCUGCUGCAGAGAUGUGACGGAAGACAAACUGGUGCUAGGCUGUGAAGACUCGUCAGUAGUUCUGUACGAAGCCUACAACCAAGUGACUCUGUUGGCCCAAGCAGAGCUGCUCCCUGCUGUAAUAACCUACCACCCCUCCGGAGCCGUGCUGGUGGUCGGCAGCUCUCAAGGGGAGCUGCAGCUUUUUGACACAGCACUGUCCCCAAUUAAAAUUCAGCUCUUGGCACAGGACUAUUCACCUGAGGCAACUCUGCAAUUCAGUAAACACUGUGAAGUGCCCACCAGCCUCAUCCAGAUCCAGUGGGCUGCUCUACCAGUUGCAUUUCCCAACCCCGACAGCAUGGAUAUUCACGACCUUUUGUUGGUUAGAUUUGACAAAGGACCCUUGGGAGUACUUCAGUUUAAACUUGGUGUGAUCACAAGAGGACAACUGGGCCCUGUGGAAAUCAUCCACCAGUACAUUCGUUAUGAUGAGAUACAGGAGGCAAUUAAUGUCCUGAGCACCAUGAACUGGAACACGAUGGGUCAGCAGUGCUUUAUCUGCCUGAGUGCCAUUUGCAACCACCUCCUUAAACAAAAGCUUACACCAGCCAGAGAAGCACAGCUUGAGGCAAGCCUUGGAACAUUUUAUGCUCCAACAAGGCCUCUCUUGGAUAGAACUGUGCUGGAGUACAGGGACCCCAUCAGCAGAUACGCAAGAAGGUUCUUCCACCACCUGCUCAGGUAUCAGAGGUUUGAAAAAGCGUUUCUGCUUGCUGUUGACAUUGGUGCUCGAGACCUGUUCAUGGAUUGAGGGAGCACCUCUGUACCAGGGUGGAGAAUGCCAGUGCUGGGUGAGGAGAUGGGUGCACAGCUGCUUACAAGAGGGAGGGACUGUCAGUACCUGGCUCCACAGGUGAUAGAUAACAUGUUUUACUCUCUCCAAAAAGGCUCUCCAACUUUCUUCAAGAGGAGUUUCAAUGUUCACAGACCAAUUAACUCCAUCCUUUCCUACUGUUUGCCUUUCCUUUCCUCUCUCAACACCUACUCUUCAUUUCCCAUCCUACCAAUGCCCUUAAACAUAAAUGUAUAUUUCUGAAGAGUUCCUCAUGGCUUAUGUUACUGUGAGAUCAAAACCAGUUCUUUAAUGUCCUCGUUCUGCUUGCAUUACCUUUGAGAUUCCUCAUAGUUUCCCCUAAAUUAUGCAAAAAGCAGCACACAUACCUGCCUCCUCUGGGGAAAUGUCCUUUUGCUAAUUCAUCAUCUAAGUCAGUCCCUAAUGAGCAAACUUUACAAUAAGCUAACAGUGGUACUGCUGCAAGACCACUAAGUACAGGACUCAAGAAGUUUAAACAUGCAUAGGUCAUUAAGAGUAUUUAUUUGUGCCAUGGUAAUUUCUAGGGAAUUUGGCUUCAUUGUGCUUAAUACUGUGUGAAAAAUUAGAUAACCUGUUCCCUGAAACCUUGCAGUCCUUCUAGGUAUUAGUGUAACAAUACUACUGCUAAACAAGGGCUGUGCAUCCCUCACUUCUGCUUAAUACUGAAUGAUUCCUAUAUAUUGUUUAUGUAGGGCAAAAUGCGAUUAAUAAUAUACAAUUUGACUUUGCAUAUAUUUAAAGUGUUUUUAUCCAUUUUUACAACCUCAGAUAGCUCUAGGAGUCGCAUCACCUUAUUCCCAAUUAAUUAAAUGGGAUUUCAAGAAGAAAUAGUAGUCGAAAUAAAGAUACCUGAUGACACAAGCAAAAUGAGAAAGAAAAAAAUCUGUUUUUUAAAGGGGGACAGAGAAGGAACAAAAAGGAAAGGAUAGAGAAGAAUGGAUAUAACAGAGGUUGAGGAGGAUGCAAACAUUGAGUACCCAUCACAUGAGGCUUCUAAGGAAGUGUCCUAUAUCUUUGAGAAUUUACCCUGAGCAUCAAUUUUACCAAACAGGGCUCUACAGCAUUCCCAUUAUUUGUUUUGAGGUUGAAAAGAAGUUUGAGAGAAUGCUAUCUGGGGGCUAACUUCUUUCAAAGAAAUGAAAAAGAAAAAAAAAAGGCUUAAAACUACAGCUAUAGCGUCACUAGAUGAUGCCAUAGCAAGACACACAUACACUGCUGUGUCUCUCCCGGAGCUUUACCCUCACGUCACAUCCAAGUCCAUCAAUUAAUCUCAUCUCCUACAAAGUUCAAUAAAAAAAUAAAACUGAAAAGGACAUAUCACGAACAACAGCUCCAUUUAUUGGACAGUGACUGAUCCAAUCUGUGACAGAAAAGAUCAAGCAGUGGAAGGGUUGUUAGCUUGAAAUCCUUUUAUAGUGCGUUCCAGCUCUCAGCUGCUGAAAAUUCAAAAGGCCAUCCCAUGUACCAAAGGUAGCAAAAAAUGCAAGGAAAAGACACUUUAAUAAAACUGUCAGAUCUUGGGUGAUACACUGAUGAGGAAAGUGCAUGCUUCGAAGAAAUGUUGGAGUGUUGCCCAGAAAUAUCCUAUAGACAAGUGCACAUCGUGUUUCAAAUGACUUCUGCUUGCCAACGGCCAGCUCUGUGAGUCACAAAGGUGAGGGCAAAAAGGAAGUAGUCCAAAAAGUAAGCAAACUGUUAAAUGAUAAAAUAGAGCCCUUUCAGCAAGCUCCUGAUAAGCAGCUGGAAAUUGUUUUUAUUGUCACCAUUGUGUUUGAGAGAGAUGUGAUCUUUGGACUGAUAAAUUCUUAGGUAAUUGUGUGAAAAAAAAUCUGUCAUGAAUAUGCAGAUAAUUUAAUCAUUUUUAUGUCAUUCUUUAAAGCACCCUGCAAUCUGGUGCUUCUUCUUUCUGUUUUUUAGUUUUCUAGUUUAGUUCUGCUUAGACAGUUAUAAAUUCUUUAAAAAAUCCACUUUCUCUGAUUUAUUUGAAUGAGAAACACCUAAAUUUUAUCUGAAAUGGUCUAAUAAGGAGAUUUCAUAUCUGUAAUAUUUUCUUUCUAAAGAUGGUUUAGAGAUGAGGCAAAGACUACUUUUUUUUAUUGUUCUUCAUGACAGCAACUCAAGGAACAACAAAAAAAGCCACUUACCAACCUACUGCUAACCUUUAUUUCUUACAAGGCCCUGUUAGAUAAUGAUGGAUGUGUAGCACCUUUAAAUGUCUUUACUCGAACCAGAAAAUGGGCAAAACCAAGACCUGAAAUAACAGCUGCUUUGAUACACAGAGAGUGCACAGGCUCUUCACUGACAAAACUUCAUCAUUUGCUGCAGUUGUUUCCAUCCAAUCCCCAAGCUUACUAUUUGAAAUUGCAUGGAGGAACACAAUACUUUUCAUAGUUUAAGCUACAAAAAGACAAUCAUUAAGCAUUGUCAGAAGGUAUUUUAAAUAAGUCUGCCUAUACAUCCAAACCUCUGUAAGUUCAGACUUGUCCAAGAGCCCUUGGGUUUUCUAUUGUUAUCUAAAUAAGCUGACAAUAUCUGCUGUUUAAUCUUCAUAGAAAUCAUACCUUUCUACUCAAGCCCUUUUCUCCUGACAACCAAGUUAGACCUACAAAGAGAGGAAAUACAGAGUUCGCCACAAGUUCGUAACCCAUUACUUUGCUCCAAGACACUUGCACAUUUUUUAAGUCACACCUGUGUUUGUGAUGAGAAGACACUUCUGUCUCCUGCAGACUGCAGAUCCUGCAAGUCAGUUCCAGGCUUUCCUGUGUAAUCAGUCUCAGUUUCCCUAAGAUUUUCACUUUUGUUUUAAUAAUGUUGUUGUUGUUGCUGCUAUUGUUAUUAAAUGAGGGGUUACUGAAAGCAACAUGUCUUUCUCCUAACACUAUUACUCUCACUUUUUCAUCUAAACUUCUCUUUCUAAAGUCACUUUUCCUGUAAGAGUUUCUGUCAUAUUGAUGCAGGUGGCAGUAAACUGACAUCAAGAAGGAUGGUUUCACCUGAAAUCUUCCACAUUAGGGAGAAUAUAGUUGCUUUUAUGGCAUGCAGAGGACAUCCACUACCUUGCUCUAGAUAAGGGUGAAUUGGCACUAGCUGAUGUGGCAAAGAGAAAGGCUAAUGACAUUGAUGCAG